RNAcentral lists this ribosomal RNA (440 nucleotides) under uncultured bacterium. Its description in RNAcentral is "partial 16S ribosomal RNA". It matches the Rfam family "Bacterial small subunit ribosomal RNA", at positions 338 to 795 of the family's 1533-position model. The record is from RNAcentral.
CCUACGGGAGGCAGCAGUGGGGGAUAUUGCACAAUGGGGGAAACGCUGAUGCAGCGACGCCGCGUGUGGGAAGACGGUCCUCUGGAUUGUAAACCACUGUCCCCAGGGACGAAGAUGACGGUACCUGGGGAGGAAGCUCCUGCUAACUACGUGCCAGCAGCCGCGGUAAUACGUAGGGAGCGCGCUUUGUCCGGUUUUACUGGGUGUAAAGGGAGCGUAGGCGGGGAUGCAAGUUGGGUGUCAAAACUACGGGCUAAACUGGUAGUCGCACUCAAAACUGCAGCUCUUGAGUGAAGUAGAGGCAGGCGGAAUGCGUAGUGUAGCGGUGAAAUGCGUAGAUAUUAGGAGGAACACCAGUGGCGAAGGCGGCCUGCUGGGCUUUUACUGACGCUGAGGCUCGAAAGUGUGGGGAGCAAACAGGAUUAGAUACCCUUGUAGUC